This is a long non-coding RNA of Salvia miltiorrhiza (redroot sage), 978 nucleotides long. RefSeq lists it as uncharacterized. The record is from RefSeq and is a predicted model, not a curated record. The transcript is spliced from 3 exons. NCBI's taxonomy places the organism in Eukaryota, Viridiplantae, Streptophyta, Magnoliopsida, Lamiales, Lamiaceae.
UUUCUUUUAAUGAAAGAUUUUAUUAAAUUUUACCAACAGAGAUUAAAUGCAAAUACGUGACUAUGUGGAUUUAUUUUAUAUUAACAUCAGACGAGUUCUAAGGAAAUGAUCUUACAUUUUAUUUUUUUUAUUUACUUUUUAAUUUGAAUUGGGCCUAAAUAGAAUUAUUAUACUAACUUAUCUAGUUUGGGUCUUACUUAUUUUUGAGUUAAGAUUAUGUGUAUUUUGUAAGCCCAUUUUGAUCCAUAAUUUUUUUUCAUUCAUGUCUGCCCACAUGCCUUAUUAAAUUUUGUAGAUUUUUGACUUUUGAUUUUGUAGAGAGAUUUAUGUGUUAUGGUUUUUGGCAGCAGCCAUUUGUCCUCAUUCAUCAAAAAUUCAUCCACGCAUCACUCCACAUUUUCACCACAUUGUGAACCAAUCACUUUACAUGCAUCUGCAACUCACCACAUUUUGAACCAAUCACUUUACAUGCAUUUUUCUCUCAUGAAAUAAAUUUGCCAAAACUCAAAUAUCAGAUCAUUCACAGAAAAUCCAAUUAUCAUCAGCUUUCUUUCCUCUCCAAAAAUUCAUUCAAAUCACAAGCAUCCCUUCAAGAAAAUACACAGUCUGUCCACUUGUUAGAAGGUUUUAGCACUGGUUUUACAAGAAGAUAAUUGUGCAAAUUUUAUCUACAGGCUUGUCCUAUCAAGGUUGAGCGGCAGGUGGUGUCGUGCGAGGCUGAGGGAGGAUGUUGCUGUAGUUUCGUAUAAUAAUUUCCGCUGCCAUAAUAUUCACUUACGUGGAUAUCUUUUGAGAAUGACUCUUUAAAUAUUCUUAACCUAAUUAUUAUGAACUCUUUUGACAAUCGCAUUACUAGCAAUUGAACCUCGCUUAUAUGUACGUCUAGUAUGAAGUGUUAUCUUGUUGUCUCAGACCUCCGAACUUUUGAUCCUGGUUGGGAAAAUUUCUAUCCUAAUUGUUGUACUUAUUAUCCUUCAA